UACGAAGGGGGCUAGCGUUGUUCGGAAUUACUGGGCGUAAAGGGCGCGUAGGCGGUGUGUCAAGCCAGGCGUGAAAGCCCCGGGCUCAACCUGGGAACCGCGCUUGAGACUGGCACGCUCGAGUUCGGGAGAGGAUGGUGGAAUUCCCAGUGUAGAGGUGAAAUUCGUAGAUAUUGGGAAGAACACCGGUGGCGAAGGCGGUUCUCUGGGCAUGAUCUGACGCUGAGGAGCGAAAGUGUGGGGAGCGAACAGG
This 253-nucleotide ribosomal RNA is filed under the name uncultured bacterium. RNAcentral describes it as "partial 16S ribosomal RNA". It matches the Rfam family "Bacterial small subunit ribosomal RNA", at positions 524 to 776 of the family's 1533-position model. The record is from RNAcentral.